UACGUAGGGGGCUAGCGUUGUCCGGAAUUAUUGGGCGUAAAGCGUGCGCAGGCGGUUUUGUAAGACAGGUGUGAAAUCCCCGGGCUUAACCUGGGAACUGCAUUUGUGACUGCAUAGCUAGAGUACGGUAGAGGGGGAUGGAAUUCCGCGUGUAGCAGUGAAAUGCGUAGAUAUGCGGAGGAACACCGAUGGCGAAGGCAAUCCCCUGGACCUGUACUGACGCUCAUGCACGAAAGCGUGGGGAGCAAACAGG
RNAcentral lists this ribosomal RNA (253 nucleotides) under uncultured bacterium. RNAcentral describes it as "partial 16S ribosomal RNA". It matches the Rfam family "Bacterial small subunit ribosomal RNA", at positions 524 to 776 of the family's 1533-position model. The record is from RNAcentral.